RNAcentral lists this non-coding RNA (102 nucleotides) under Alkalihalophilus pseudofirmus. Its description in RNAcentral is "Bacillus pseudofirmus Guanine sequence". It matches the Rfam family "Purine riboswitch aptamer". From Rfam's summary of the family: Riboswitches are metabolite binding domains within certain messenger RNAs that serve as precision sensors for their corresponding targets. Allosteric rearrangement of mRNA structure is mediated by ligand binding, and this results in modulation of gene expression. RNAcentral also lists the same sequence under 1 other name. Lineage: Bacteria; Bacillati; Bacillota; Bacilli; Caryophanales; Bacillaceae. The record is from RNAcentral.
CGAGAAAACAGAAUAUCACCUCAUAUAAUCACGGGAAUAAGGCCCGAAAGUCUCUACCCAAUGACCGUAAAUCGUUGGACUAUGAGGGAAAGUGUCACUUCA